UGGGGAAUUUUGGACAAUGGGCGAAAGCCUGAUCCAGCAAUACCGCGUGUGUGAAGAAGGCCUUCGGGUUGUAAAGCACUUUUGUCCGGAAAGAAAUCCUUGGCUCUAAUACAGUCGGGGGAUGACGGUACCGGAAGAAUAAGCACCGGCUAACUACGUGCCAGCAGCCGCGGUAAUACGUAGGGUGCAAGCGUUAAUCGGAAUUACUGGGCGUAAAGCGUGCGCAGGCGGUUUGCUAAGACCGAUGUGAAAUCCCCGGGCUCAACCUGGGAACUGCAUUGGUGACUGGCAGGCUAGAGUAUGGCAGAGGGGGGUAGAAUUCCACGUGUAGCAGUGAAAUGCGUAGAGAUGUGGAGGAAUACCGAUGGCGAAGGCAGCCCCCUGGGCCAAUACUGACGCUCAUGCACGAAAGCGUGGGGAGCAAACAGGAUUAGAUACCCUGGUAGUCCACGCCCUAAACGAUGUCAACUAGUUGUUGGGGAUUCAUUUCCUUAGUAACGUAGCUAACGCGUGAAGUUGACCGCCUGGGGAGUACGGUCGCAAGAUUAAAACUCAAAUGAAUUGACGGGGUCAUA
This 575-nucleotide ribosomal RNA is filed under the name uncultured bacterium. RNAcentral describes it as "partial 16S ribosomal RNA". It matches the Rfam family "Bacterial small subunit ribosomal RNA", at positions 355 to 923 of the family's 1533-position model. The record is from RNAcentral.